CCUGGCGGCCGUCGCGCGGUGGUCCCACCUGACCCCAUGCCGAACUCAGAAGUGAAACGCCGUAGCGCCGAUGGUAGUGUGGGGUCUCCCCAUGCGAGAGUAGGGAACUGCCAGGC
RNAcentral lists this ribosomal RNA (116 nucleotides) under Escherichia coli. Lineage: Bacteria; Pseudomonadati; Pseudomonadota; Gammaproteobacteria; Enterobacterales; Enterobacteriaceae. The record is from RNAcentral.